This 528-nucleotide small RNA is filed under the name Arabidopsis thaliana (thale cress). Its description in RNAcentral is "ATSL294910". The record is from RNAcentral. Lineage: Eukaryota; Viridiplantae; Streptophyta; Magnoliopsida; Brassicales; Brassicaceae.
UUAAAUGGAGGAACAAAUUGUAGAUAUGUCAUAUGUAAUCUAAUUUGUUCGUGCAGAGUUUUUGAGCAAAAAGUUAUGCAUGUGAUUCUUGAAUUAGUGAGAAUUAUUAAGGGCAUCUCCAUCAGUGAGAUAUUUUCUUGGUUUCUCAAAAAAGAAAGAUAUUAGUAUUUUAAUAAAUAUUAGUUAUAUAAUUAAAUUUUAACAAUAAAAUAAUAUUUGACCAAUAAAUGAUAUACAAGUGUUUUUAUGGGUUUCUCAGAGUUUCUCACUUGAGAGACUAAUUCUAGUCUCUCUCAUACUUUUUGAUUAUAUUUUAUUUUUCUAUUGAACAGUUUCUAAAUGAGAAACCAUUGAUGGAGAUGGUUAAACCACCAAAAAGUAAAUAAGUUUGCACCAAAAAGAAAACUGUCAACCUCUCGGGACGCACCAUGUGUGAGGGGAAAGAGAGUUUUCCUAAAAGACUUUGCAAUGCUCAAAUUAGAAAAUAAUAAAAAAGGGUUGGUUAAAGGAAAAAGCAAACGCAUACAA